UACAGAGGAUGCAAGCGUUAUCCGGAAUGAUUGGGCGUAAAGCGUCUGUAGGUGGCUUUUUAAGUCCGCCGUCAAAUCCCAGGGCUCAACUCUGGACAGGCGGUGGAAACUACCAAGCUGGAGUACGGUAGGGGCAGAGGGAAUUUCCGGUGGAGCGGUGAAAUGCGCAGAUAUCAGGAGGAACACCAAUUGCGAAGGCAGCUCGCUGGGACGUUACUGACGCUGAGACGCGAAAGCGUGGGGAGCAAACAGG
RNAcentral lists this ribosomal RNA (253 nucleotides) under uncultured bacterium. RNAcentral describes it as "partial 16S ribosomal RNA". It matches the Rfam family "Bacterial small subunit ribosomal RNA", at positions 524 to 776 of the family's 1533-position model. The record is from RNAcentral.